AAAGGCUAUGGCUUAACCAUAGUUAGCAUUUGAAACUGUAUUACUUGAGUGCAGGAGAGGUAAGUGGAAUUCCUAGUGUAGCGGUGAAAUGCGUAGAUAUUAGGAGGAACACCAGUGGCGAAGGCGACUUACUGGACUGUAACUGACGCUGAGUCACGAAAGCGUGGGUAGCAAACAGGAUUAGAUACCCUGGUAGUCCACGCUGUAAACGAUGAGUGCUAGGUGUUGGGUAGCGAUAUUCAGUGCCGAAGUAAACACAAUAAGCACUCCGCCUGGGGAGUACGGUCGCAAGACUGAAACUCAAAGGAAUUGACGGGGACCCGCACAAGCAGCGGAGCAUGUGGUUUAAUUCGAAGCAACGCGAAGAACCUUACCAAGGCUUGACAUCCCCUUGACCGGCACAGAGAUGUGCCCUCUCCUUCGGGAGCAAGGGUGACAGGUGGUGCAUGGUUGUCGUCAGCUCGUGUCGUGAGAUGUUGGGUUAAGUCCCGCAACGAGCGCAACCCUUAUCCUUAGUUGCCAGCAGGUUAAGCUGGGCACUCUAAGGAGACUGCCGAUGAUAAAUCGGAGGAAGGUGGGGAUGACGUCAAAUCAUCAUGCCCCUUAUGUCUUGGGCUACACACGUGCUACAAUGGUCGGUACAAAGGGCGGCGAAGGAGUGAUCUGGAGCGAAUCCCAAUAAACCGAUCCCAGUUCGGAUUGUAGGCUGCAACUCGCCUACAUGAAGUCGGAGUUGCUAGUAAUCGCGAAUCAGAACGUCGCGGUGAAUGCGUUCCCGGGUCUUGUACACACCGCCCGUCACACCAUGGAAGUUGGUAAUACCCAAAGUCGCUGAGCUAACCGCAAGGGGGCAGGCGCCUAAGGUAGGAUCAAUGACUGGGGUGAAGUCGUAACAAGGUAGCCG
This 904-nucleotide ribosomal RNA is filed under the name uncultured Sedimentibacter sp. RNAcentral's name for it is "bacterial SSU rRNA". It matches the Rfam family "Bacterial small subunit ribosomal RNA", at positions 597 to 1502 of the family's 1533-position model. Lineage: Bacteria; Bacillati; Bacillota; Tissierellia. The record is from RNAcentral.